UCAGCUCGUGUCGUGAGAUGUUGGGUUAAGUCCCGCAACGAGCGCAACCCUUGUCAUUAGUUGCUACAUUCAGUUGGGCACUCUAAUGAGACUGCCGGUGACAAACCGGAGGAAGGUGGGGAUGACGUCAAGUCCUCAUGGCCCUUAUAGGUGGGGCUACACACGUCAUACAAUGGCUGGUACAGAGGGUUGCCAACCCGCGAGGGGGAGCCAAUCCCAUAAAGCCAGUCGUAGUCCGGAUCGCAGUCUGCAACUCGACUGCGUGAAGUCGGAAUCGCUAGUAAUCGCGGAUCAGAAUGUCGCGGUGAAUACGUUCCCGGGUCUUGUACACACCGCCCGUCACACCAUGGGAGCGGGUUCUGCCAGAAGUAGUUAGCCUAACCGCAAGGAGG
RNAcentral lists this ribosomal RNA (392 nucleotides) under Acidovorax delafieldii. RNAcentral's name for it is "bacterial SSU rRNA". It matches the Rfam family "Bacterial small subunit ribosomal RNA", at positions 1055 to 1449 of the family's 1533-position model. Lineage: Bacteria; Pseudomonadati; Pseudomonadota; Betaproteobacteria; Burkholderiales; Comamonadaceae. The record is from RNAcentral.